Molecule: ribosomal RNA, 253 nt
Filed under: uncultured bacterium
Lineage: Bacteria
Description: partial 16S ribosomal RNA
Rfam family: Bacterial small subunit ribosomal RNA
Source: RNAcentral
UACAGAGGUCUCAAGCGUUGUUCGGAUUCAUUGGGCGUAAAGGGUGUGUAGGUGGCGCUGUAAGUCGGGUGUGAAAUCUCGGGGCUUAACUCCGAAACUGCAUUCGAUACUGCGGUGCUUGAGGACUGGAGAGGAGACUGGAAUUCAUGGUGUAGCAGUGAAAUGCGUAGAGAUGUGGAGGAACACCAGUGGCGAAGGCGACUCUUUGGCCUGUAACUGACGCUGAGGCGCGAAAGCGUGGGGAGCAAACGGG